RNAcentral lists this ribosomal RNA (199 nucleotides) under uncultured Lactobacillus sp. Its description in RNAcentral is "partial 16S ribosomal RNA". It matches the Rfam family "Bacterial small subunit ribosomal RNA", at positions 335 to 526 of the family's 1533-position model. The record is from RNAcentral. Lineage: Bacteria; Bacillati; Bacillota; Bacilli; Lactobacillales; Lactobacillaceae.
ACUCUUACGGGAGGCAGCAGUAGGGAAUCUUCCACAAUGGACGCAAGUCUGAUGGAGCAACGCCGCGUGAGUGAAGAAGGGUUUCGGCUCGUAAAGCUCUGUUGGUAGUGAAGAAAGAUAGAGGUAGUACCUGGCCUUUAUUUGACGGUAAUUACUUAGAAAGUCACGGCUAACUACGUGCCAGCAGCCGCGGUAAUAC